Long non-coding RNA from Callithrix jacchus (white-tufted-ear marmoset), 400 nucleotides. RefSeq lists it as uncharacterized. The record is from RefSeq and is a predicted model, not a curated record. Lineage: Eukaryota; Metazoa; Chordata; Mammalia; Primates; Cebidae.
GCUGUGGCCAUCAUCCAGGUGGGAAGGGGGCUGGAAAAAGUAGAUGGAUUUGAAGAUCUAGAGAAGACAGGAUGCACUUGAAAUGAAUGCAAAGAGGAGCCUAAAGGAUCCACUGUGGUAAAGAAAGAGCCUUGGUUCCCUGACAGGGGAAGGACUCGGUGAAAAAGACACAUGGCCAGGCCUGGGAGCACUGGUCAAGAGUCUCAGUGCACACAAUUAAGGACAGGCUUGGCUCACAACCUCACAUGUCCCUGGCAUUCUACACAGCUGAGGCUACAGACACAGAAGAAUCCUCAGAGCCUAAGAGAAAACCCUGGUCAGAAGCUAACCCAGUACAGGAAUACUAAGGUGCUGCCCCAACCCCACAACCGGAUUCUCAAUAAAUGUUUACUGAAUGAAG